RNAcentral lists this ribosomal RNA (520 nucleotides) under uncultured Entrophospora. Its description in RNAcentral is "SSU rRNA". It matches the Rfam family "Eukaryotic small subunit ribosomal RNA", at positions 569 to 1086 of the family's 1831-position model. The record is from RNAcentral. Lineage: Eukaryota; Fungi; Glomeromycota; Glomeromycetes; Entrophosporales; Entrophosporaceae.
AGCAGCCGCGGUAAUUCCAGCUCCAAUAGCGUAUAUUAAAGUUGUUGCAGUUAAAAGCUCGUAGUUGAAUUUCGGGAUUGGCGCAUCGGUCGUGCCUCACGGGGUAUGAACUGGUGCAGUCAAUUUCUCACCUUCUGGAGAACCGCGAUGUCCUUAAUUGGAUGCCGCGGGGAACCAGGACCUUUACCUUGAAAAAUUAGAGUGUUUAAAGCAGGCAUUUUUGCUUGAAUACAUUAGCAUGGAAUAAUAAAAUAGGACGGCAUGGUUCUAUUUUGUUGGUUUCUAGGACCACCGUAAUGAUUAAUAGGGAUAGUUGGGGGCAUUAGUAUUCAAUUGUCAGAGGUGAAAUUCUUGGAUUUAUUGAAGACUAACUACUGCGAAAGCAUUUGCCAAGGAUGUUUUCAUUAAUCAAGAACGAAAGUUAGGGGAUCGAAGACGAUCAGAUACCGUCGUAGUCUUAACCAUAAACUAUGCCGACUAGGAAUCAGACGAUGUUAAUUUUUAAUGACUCGUUUGGCAC